This 427-nucleotide ribosomal RNA is filed under the name Roseateles sp. RNAcentral describes it as "bacterial SSU rRNA". It matches the Rfam family "Bacterial small subunit ribosomal RNA", at positions 54 to 478 of the family's 1533-position model. The record is from RNAcentral. Lineage: Bacteria; Pseudomonadati; Pseudomonadota; Betaproteobacteria; Burkholderiales; Sphaerotilaceae.
CAUGCAAGUCGAACGGUAACGCGGGGCAACCUGGCGACGAGUGGCGAACGGGUGAGUAAUGUAUCGGAACGUGCCCAGUUGUGGGGGAUAACUGCUCGAAAGAGCAGCUAAUACCGCAUACGACCUGAGGGUGAAAGCGGGGGAUCGCAAGACCUCGCGCAGUUGGAGCGGCCGAUAUCAGAUUAGGUAGUUGGUGGGGUAAAGGCUCACCAAGCCAACGAUCUGUAGCUGGUCUGAGAGGACGACCAGCCACACUGGGACUGAGACACGGCCCAGACUCCUACGGGAGGCAGCAGUGGGGAAUUUUGGACAAUGGGGGCAACCCUGAUCCAGCCAUGCCGCGUGCGGGAAGAAGGCCUUCGGGUUGUAAACCGCUUUUGUCAGGGAAGAAAAGACUCCUGUUAAUACCGGGGGUUCAUGACGGUAC